Molecule: ribosomal RNA, 451 nt
Filed under: uncultured bacterium
Lineage: Bacteria
Description: partial 16S ribosomal RNA
Rfam family: Bacterial small subunit ribosomal RNA
Source: RNAcentral
GUGGGGAAUAUUGGACAAUGGGGGGAACCCUGAUCCAGCCAUGCCGCGUGUGUGAUGAAGGCCUUUUGGUUGUAAAGCACUUUAAGCGAGGAGGAGGCUACCGAGAUUAAUACUCUUGGAUAGUGGACGUUACUCGCAGAAUAAGCACCGGCUAACUCUGUGCCAGCAGCCGCGGUAAUACAGAGGGUGCAAGCGUUAAUCGGAUUUACUGGGCGUAAAGCGCGCGUAGGUGGCCAAUUAAGUCAAAUGUGAAAUCCCCGAGCUUAACUUGGGAAUUGCAUUCGAUACUGGUUGGCUAGAGUAUGGGAGAGGAUGGUAGAAUUCCAGGUGUAGCGGUGAAAUGCGUAGAGAUCUGGAGGAAUACCGAUGGCGAAGGCAGCCAUCUGGCCUAAUACUGACACUGAGGUGCGAAAGCAUGGGGAGCAAACAGGAUUAGAAACCCCUGUAGUCC